Molecule: ribosomal RNA, 447 nt
Filed under: uncultured bacterium
Lineage: Bacteria
Description: bacterial SSU rRNA
Rfam family: Bacterial small subunit ribosomal RNA
Source: RNAcentral
GGCCAGACUCCUACGGGAGGCAGCAGUGGGGGAUAUUGCACAAUGGGGGCAACCCUGAUGCAGCGACGCCGCGUGAGCGAUGGAGUACUUCGGUAUGUAAAGCUCUGUCAGCAGGGAAGAAAAUGACGGUACCUGAAGAAGAAGCCCCGGCUAACUACGUGCCAGCAGCCGCGGUAAUACGUAGGGGGCAAGCGUUAUCCGGAUUUACUGGGUGUAAAGGGAGCGUAGACGGCGAUGCAAGCCAGAUGUGAAAGCCCGGGGCUCAACCCCGGGACUGCAUUUGGAACUGUGUGGCUGGAGUGUCGGAGAGGCAGGCGGAAUUCCUAGUGUAGCGGUGAAAUGCGUAGAUAUCAGGAGGAACACCGGCGGCGAAGGCGGCCUGCUGGACCGUGACUGACGUUGAGGCUCGAGAGCGUGGGGAGCAAACAGGAUUAGAUACCCGUGUAA